AUUGAACGCUGGCGGCAUGCCUUACACAUGCAAGUCGAACGGUAACAGGUCUUCGGAUGCUGACGAGUGGCGAACGGGUGAGUAAUACAUCGGAACGUGCCCGAUCGUGGGGGAUAACGAAGCGAAAGCUUUGCUAAUACCGCAUAAGAUCUACGGAUGAAAGCAGGGGACCGCAAGGCCUUGCGCGAACGGAGCGGCCGAUGGCAGAUUAGGUAGUUGGGGGGAUAAAAGCUUACCAAGCCGACGAGCUGUAGCUGGUCUGAGAGGACGACCGGCCACACUGGGACUGGGACACGGCCCAGACUCCUGCGGGAGGCAGCAGUGGGGAAUUUUGGACAAUGGGCGAAAGCCUGAUCCAGCCAUGCCGCGUGCAGGAUGAAGGCCUUCGGGUUGUAAACUGCUUUUGUACGGAACGAAAAGACUCUUUCUAAUAAAGAGGGUCCAUGACGGUACCGUAAGAAUAAGCACCGGCUAACUACGUGCCAGCCGCCGCAGUAA
Molecule: ribosomal RNA, 498 nt
Filed under: uncultured bacterium
Lineage: Bacteria
Description: partial 16S ribosomal RNA
Rfam family: Bacterial small subunit ribosomal RNA
Source: RNAcentral